This is a long non-coding RNA of Magnolia sinica, 735 nucleotides long. RefSeq lists it as uncharacterized. The record is from RefSeq and is a predicted model, not a curated record. Lineage: Eukaryota; Viridiplantae; Streptophyta; Magnoliopsida; Magnoliales; Magnoliaceae. The transcript is spliced from 2 exons.
UCUCUCACUCUCUCUCUCUCUCUCAUUUCUUUUAUUUCGGGAUUCUUGGUCGAGCAAAACAUCUGCUUUCGGUUAGGCUAUCUACUCGACGUGUAUGAGCCAAAGCUCGGUGAUCCCGCCCGUUCAUACGCUGCAACCCACUUUAGAUUGGCAAUGCUUUGGGAUUCUUCUCUGUCAGCUGCUGAUUUUAAGUUACCCACUGGUCGCAUACGAUUGGGGGGUGUAGUCAACAAUCCACACUCUAUGGGAAGAAAAUCGACUCAUUUCUCAUUUUCGAGGGCAUGACCCAUCCGUUUUGGCCCCUCCAGAUGAGCAGCCUUGAUAACAGAAGAUUCAGCCUGCUUGCUUCGUCAACCACUGCUAUCCAUGAGGUGGAAGGCGCUACCUUGACAGAGGCCAGGUGCCAGGUGAGUGCUGCCACAAAGUGGGUUACAACUGACGUGGGUUGUGGAGUGUGGUAGUUUGUUACAAUCCCUAAUGAUUUAAGGGCCUAGCUUGACGUGUUCCAUCAGUGGUCAUCGGGCAUCCAAUUUCAACAAGUUGUUUUUGGGCUACUAAAUGUCAGUAAUGGUUAUAUAAUACCUUUCCAAAUGAUCUGGAUGGAAGACAAGAUUAGCACUUUAAUGCAAGAAAUUGUAUGGCACAUUGGUGCUUUCCCUGAAAUACAUGUAUUGGUUCUUAUUUAAUCAGUAAGAUGCUUGUUUAUAUAGAAUUUUAUGAUCCUCAACCCAAGGA